Transfer RNA from Cavia porcellus (domestic guinea pig), 57 nucleotides. It matches the Rfam family "tRNA", at positions 8 to 63 of the family's 71-position model. From Rfam's summary of the family: Transfer RNA (tRNA) molecules are approximately 80 nucleotides in length. Their secondary structure includes four short double-helical elements and three loops (D, anti-codon, and T loops). The record is from Rfam. Lineage: Eukaryota; Metazoa; Chordata; Mammalia; Rodentia; Caviidae.
UAGCUCAGGGGUGCAGCACCUGCCUGGCAAGCAUGAGGUCCUGAGUUCGAUUCUCAG